GAACAAACAAAUUCAUCAGAACAAAAUUGGAACUAACCGAAUGAAUUACAAUGUUUCAAAUGGAUUGUUGCUCAAUCUAUUCCUACCACAAAGAUAAGGGACCAUGCCAUGGAGCAAAUGAAUUCUUCACCAUGAAUUGAAUUUAUGGAAGUGAUUUCUUCAGCAUGAAUUGAAUUUAUGGAAGCAAUUCAUAAUUUCUUCACCAUGAAUUGAAUUCAUGGAAGCAAUCACCAAUUUUGAUGAACUCAUUCCAAUCAAAGAAAACACCGUGUUGGUCACAAAGACAGCGUGUAAUCACUUGGAAUUGGAUUUGUAAGUACUUAAGUUCGCGAACGAUGUUGGUCACGAAGAAAGCGUGUAAUCACUUGGAACUGGUAAUACAAGAAUUAUAUCGAACGAUGUUGCUACAGCUGCAGAAUUUUCUCUUUUCAACAGUCCUUAUUUUUCGGUUUUUACUAACCGAAUAAAUUGGAACACAAAAUUGGGUUGUGGAGAUCUUGUCGGAGUUUCCGUCGCCGGAGCGUUCUCGUUGUGCUUUUGUAGGGAUGUGGUGGUGGUUGAGAU
Molecule: long non-coding RNA, 564 nt
Filed under: Trifolium pratense (red clover)
Lineage: Eukaryota; Viridiplantae; Streptophyta; Magnoliopsida; Fabales; Fabaceae
Description: long non-coding RNA (TPRA_LNC001908)
Source: RNAcentral